GCAAGGUUAAAACUCAAAUGAAUUGACGGGGGCCCGCACAAGCGGUGGAGCAUGUGGUUUAAUUCGAUGCAACGCGAAGAACCUUACCUGGUCUUGACAUCCACAGAAGUUUGCAGAGAUGCGAAUGUGCCUUCGGGAACUGUGAGACAGGUGCUGCAUGGCUGUCGUCAGCUCGUGUUGUGAAAUGUUGGGUUAAGUCCCGCAACGAGCGCAACCCUUAUCCUUUGUUGCCAGCGGUUAGGCCGGGAACUCAAAGGAGACUGCCAGUGAUAAACUGGAGGAAGGUGGGGAUGACGUCAAGUCAUCAUGGCCCUUACGACCAGGGCUACACACGUGCUACAAUGGCGCAUACAAAGAGAAGCGACCUCGCGAGAGCAAGCGGACCUCAUAAAGUGCGUCGUAGUCCGGAUUGGAGUCUGCAACUCGACUCCAUGAAGUCGGAAUCGCUAGUAAUCGUGGAUCAGAAUGCCACGGUGAAUACGUUCCCGGGCCUUGUACACACCGCCCGUCACACCAUGGGAGUGGGUUGCAAAAGAAGUAGGUAGCUUAACCUUCGGGAGGGCGCUUACCACUUUGUGAUUCAUGACUGGGGUGAAGUCGUAACAAGGUAACCGUAGGGGAACCUGCGGUUGGA
This 634-nucleotide ribosomal RNA is filed under the name Salmonella enterica. RNAcentral describes it as "bacterial SSU rRNA". It matches the Rfam family "Bacterial small subunit ribosomal RNA", at positions 888 to 1522 of the family's 1533-position model. Lineage: Bacteria; Pseudomonadati; Pseudomonadota; Gammaproteobacteria; Enterobacterales; Enterobacteriaceae. The record is from RNAcentral.